UUUAUGCUUUUGUUUAUAAAGCUUACAACACAGUAGGCCAGUCGCUUAAAGUGUUCCAUCCCCCAGAAAGUUGUCCAUUAUCGCCACUACUGAAGAAAAUAAAUGAUGUCCUUGGAGAGGUGGUGUAUCUGAUUGAGCAGCUGGAGGCUGAUCGCCAGUAUGCAGAGGAAGCUAUCCAGAAAGAGAAGACAAGAAAAAGAUUUCUGGAGAGCAAAAUUGACAGUAUUUCACUCUGGAAGAAACAAGAACAUUCGUUUGUUGUCCAAAAAGAGCAUGAGGCUUGCAUCAGAGACAACACUGAACUGAAGUGGCAGCUAAAACUGGAAAGGCAGAAACUUCAGCAGAACCAGGAGAAGUUGUCACACACUGAGGUGUUGAACCAACGCUUACAUGAGGACAUCAGCUUUGCCAAAAAACAAAUCCCCAUUGUGAAAGAAAACCUGGACUUCCAGAGAGACAUC
This is a long non-coding RNA of Monopterus albus (swamp eel), 461 nucleotides long. RefSeq lists it as uncharacterized. NCBI's taxonomy places the organism in Eukaryota, Metazoa, Chordata, Actinopteri, Synbranchiformes, Synbranchidae. The transcript has 2 exons. The record is from RefSeq and is a predicted model, not a curated record.